This 253-nucleotide ribosomal RNA is filed under the name uncultured bacterium. RNAcentral describes it as "partial 16S ribosomal RNA". It matches the Rfam family "Bacterial small subunit ribosomal RNA", at positions 524 to 776 of the family's 1533-position model. The record is from RNAcentral.
UACGAAGGGGGCUAGCGUUGCUCGGAAUCACUGGGCGUAAAGGGUGCGUAGGCGGGUCUUUAAGUCAGGGGUGAAAUCCUGGAGCUCAACUCCAGAACUGCCCUUGAUACUGGGGAUCUUGAGUCCGGAAGAGGUGAGUGGAACUCCGAGUGUAGAGGUGAAAUUCGUAGAUAUUCGCAAGAACACCAGUGGCGAAGGCGGCUCACUGGCCCGAUACUGACGCUGAGGCACGAAAGCGUGGGGAGCAAACAGG